CUCGGAGCUUACACAUGCAGUCGAACGAAAUCUUUAGGGAUUUAGUGGCGGACGGGUGAGUAACGCGUGAGAAUCUGCCUUCAGGUCUGGGACAACCACUGGAAACGGUGGCUAAUACCGGAUGUGCCCUUAGGGGUGAAAGAUUAAUUGCCUGAAGAUGAGCUCGCGUCUGAUUAGCUAGUAGGUGUGGUAAGAGCGCACCUAGGCGACGAUCAGUAGCUGGUCUGAGAGGACGAUCAGCCACACUGGGACUGAGACACGGCCCAGACUCCUACGGGAGGCAGCAGUGGGGAAUUUUCCGCAAUGGGCGAAAGCCUGACGGAGCAAUACCGCGUGAGGGAGGAAGGCUCUUGGGUCGUAAACCUCUUUUCUCAGGGAAGAACACAAUGACGGUACCUGAGGAAUAAGCAUCGGCUAACUCCGUGCCAGCAGCCGCGGUAAUACGGAGGAUGCAAGCGUUAUCCGGAAUGAUUGGGCGUAAAGCGUCCGCAGGUGGCUAUGUAAGUCUGCUGUUAAAGAGUCUAGCUCAACUAGAUAAGAGCAGUGGAAACUACAUGGCUAGAGUGCGUUCGGGGCAGAGGGAAUUCCUGGUGUAGCGGUGAAAUGCGUAGAA
This 613-nucleotide ribosomal RNA is filed under the name Nostoc sp. MACC 268. RNAcentral describes it as "bacterial SSU rRNA". It matches the Rfam family "Bacterial small subunit ribosomal RNA", at positions 38 to 695 of the family's 1533-position model. Lineage: Bacteria; Bacillati; Cyanobacteriota; Cyanophyceae; Nostocales; Nostocaceae. The record is from RNAcentral.